GACGAACGCUGGCGGCGUGCUUAAUGCAUGCAAGUCGAACGAGGCCCCAUCGACGGGUAACCGUCGCGGGGUCCUAGUGGCGAACGGGUGAGUAACACGUGAGGAACCUGCCCCGGAGUUCGGGAUAGCCCAGGGAAACCUGGAUUAAUACCGGAUACCCUCGACCGGUCGCAUGUCUGGUCGAGGAAAGGUCCGCCGCUCCGAGAUGGCCUCGCGGCCUAUCAGCUUGUUGGUGAGGUAACGGCUCACCAAGGCAACGACGGGUAGCUGGUCUGAGAGGACGAACAGCCACACUGGGACUGAGACACGGCCCAGACUCCUACGGGAGGCAGCAGCAGGGAAUAUUGCACAAUGGGCGAAAGCCUGAUGCAGCGACGCCGCGUGAGGGAUGAAGGCCUCCGGGUCGUAAACCUCUUUCAGGAGGGAAGAAGCGCAAGUGACGGUACCUCCAGAAGAAGCCCC
Molecule: ribosomal RNA, 462 nt
Filed under: uncultured bacterium
Lineage: Bacteria
Description: bacterial SSU rRNA
Rfam family: Bacterial small subunit ribosomal RNA
Source: RNAcentral